AUCGAACUAGCGCCAUGUAGAGAGUUUGUCUUAGUAACUAACCCAAAAAUAUCUAUUGAAAUUGGAAUUUUCUUUUACACUGUUUGGAUAAGAAAAAUAAUCCUGAGAAUUAACUAAAAGCCGGGAAUUGACGACAAGAAUUUGGAUUUUCCACGUUUGGCUAAUUGGAGGAAAGAAAUCGAUAAUUGCCGAGCUGAAAAAAAAAAACACAGAAAUCGGGGGUCCAAUUCUCCAAGUUCAAAUUCCUCAAAAAUGGUCGUCAUUUCACAGUUCCAAUUUUCUGAGCUCAACAUGAGUUUUAUAAAGCUGCUAUUCGUGCUGUUCCCAAAAGCUUUGUUUUUCUCGAUUUCUUUCUACAACUCCUCGACGGAGGUGCUAAUUAAUGCUCUAUUCACGAUUCGGACGGUGAGAUUGCUUCAUUAGACUGCUCCCUCUGUGUUGUAGUAUGUUGCAAACUUGCUGCAUAACAAAAUUAGGGUUGUGCGGUGGGGGGCUGUAAAUCAUGUGGACUCUGGAAAUCAGGGUUGAGAAGGAGAUAGGAGAGCGGAUGGGUUAUGGGUUUCUGGUUUUUCUGCAAAUUUCACUUUACCGCCAGUUUAUUUGGUGCCUAUGAAUUUCGGGUUUUAUCUCUUUAUAUAUAAAGCUAGCAUGCCAAUUUGGUGUCACUGGCUUCGAAAAAAAAAUUUGGACACAAAUGCUCUCAAAACAAAAAAAAUUCAGAAGAAGUCCAAAAUAAUACAUCAAAUAAUCCAGGAAAAUUUUCGUGAUACAAACAGUAAUUUUUAAAUAAUUAUAAUUUUUUUAUUAUGAUUUAGGGUUAGUAUCUGUUUAGGGUCAUUGGAAUACCCUGGAGCUCAAUUGGGUUCCUUUUCUUCUGCUUCAUUUCCUUUGCUCCGUUUCUAUCGGCUUCCUCUGCCUCUGUUUCUUCUGAUUCUGCUGCUGCUUCUUCUUCCUCUGCUUUAUAUCUUAUAUGUGUGUACGAACAGAUCUCCAAGCAUUUGAGAAACCCACCAAAACUGAGUUUCCACAGUGACCGAGAGAUCUCCAGCCAUGUCUCUGGUGCAAGGCAAAAUAGAUCAAGCUUGCACUGCUUCUCUCUCUGCGUCGAUCGUCUGUCAUCGAUGGCAAAAGAAGUAUAGGCAAAAGCUAAUUGAGCACCUUCUACAAACUGCAGUACUACUACUCUUGCUGAGGUUUUGCAUCAUUUGGAACAUCAGGCCUAUGUCAUUGCUUGACCUAAGCAGGUGGACUUAAAAGACAUCAAGUAUACAGGGAAAUGGUAGGAUUAUCAUUUUAGAGGUAGAGAUCAACUCUUUCACUCAUGUUAAACUUCUAUUGUGGUAUUUUUGUCAUUAAAUUUUGCUGAAAACAUUGUUUAGUAUAAUGUACAAGACUAGCUUGUCAUGGAGCUUAUAAUAAUCUAAUUGACGCCGUAAUCAUAAAAGGGUCUUCCGCACGCGCGUGAAUGAGCGCGUGCAAGGAGGCUAGUAUAUUUCAUAUUUCUCUUGUUUCACUUUCUUUUGCCAUAUAUGGUUUUCACUUUCUUUGUCU
This is an RNA transcript of Pyrus x bretschneideri (Chinese white pear), 1551 nucleotides long. RefSeq lists it as uncharacterized. The record is from RefSeq and is a predicted model, not a curated record. NCBI's taxonomy places the organism in Eukaryota, Viridiplantae, Streptophyta, Magnoliopsida, Rosales, Rosaceae. The transcript is spliced from 5 exons.